RNAcentral lists this ribosomal RNA (505 nucleotides) under uncultured archaeon. Its description in RNAcentral is "bacterial SSU rRNA". It matches the Rfam family "Archaeal small subunit ribosomal RNA", at positions 352 to 859 of the family's 1478-position model. The record is from RNAcentral.
UCAAUGCACUAACGUGCGAAGGGGUUACCUCGAGUGCUAUCUGAUGAAGGUGGCUUUUCCAUGGUCUAAAAAGCCUAGGGAAUAAGAGGGGGGCAAGACUGGUGUCAGCCGCCGCGGUAACACCAGCCCCUCGAGUGGUGGGGAUGAUUAUCUGGCCUAAAGCGUCCGUAGCCUGCCAGAUAAGUUUCCCGUUAAAUCCAACGUCUCAAGCGUUGGACUGCGGGAAAUACUGUCUGGCUAGAGAGUGGGAGAGGUCAGCGGUAUUCUGGGGGUAGGGGCGAAAUCCUUUGAUCCCCGGAGGACCACCAGUGGCGAAGGCUGCUGACUAGAACACGCCUGACGGUCAGGGACGAAAGCUGGGGUAGCGAACCGGAUUAGAUACCCGGGUAGUCCCAGCCGUAAACGAUGCAUGCUAGGUGUUGGGUUGGCCACGAGCCACCCCAGUGCCGCAGGGAAGCCGUUAAGCAUGCCGCCUGGGAAGUACGAUCGCAAGAUUGAAACUUAA